CCUACGGGCGGCAGCAGUGGGGAAUAUUGGACAAUGGGCGAAAGCCUGAUCCAGCCAUGCCGCGUGUGUGAAGAAGGCCUUCGGGUUGUAAAGCACUUUCAGUGGGGAAGAAAGCCUUGGGGCUAAUACCCUCGAGGAAGGACAUCACCCACAGAAGAAGCACCGGCUAACUCCGUGCCAGCAGCCGCGGUAAUACGGAGGGUGCGAGCGUUAAUCGGAAUUACUGGGCGUAAAGCGCGCGUAGGCGGUCUGAUAAGCCGGUUGUGAAAGCCCCGGGCUCAACCUGGGAACGGCAUCCGGAACUGUCAGGCUAGAGUGCAGGAGAGGAAGGUAGAAUUCCCGGUGAAGCGGUGAAAUGCGUAGAGAUCGGGAGGAAUACCAGUGGCGAAGGCGGCCUUCUGGACUGACACUGACGCUGAGGUGCGAAAGCGUGGGUAGCAAACAGGAUUAGAUACCCCGGUAGUC
Molecule: ribosomal RNA, 465 nt
Filed under: Vreelandella stevensii
Lineage: Bacteria; Pseudomonadati; Pseudomonadota; Gammaproteobacteria; Oceanospirillales; Halomonadaceae
Description: partial 16S ribosomal RNA
Rfam family: Bacterial small subunit ribosomal RNA
Source: RNAcentral